This is a long non-coding RNA of Rhododendron vialii, 1251 nucleotides long. RefSeq lists it as uncharacterized. Lineage: Eukaryota; Viridiplantae; Streptophyta; Magnoliopsida; Ericales; Ericaceae. The transcript is spliced from 4 exons. The record is from RefSeq and is a predicted model, not a curated record.
GUGUGAUUUUUAUUUAACAAAAGAAAGGGAAAGUCAAAUGCAAAACAAAAAAUAGAGAUCUUCCCUUAACUUUUCUCCUGCGCGCUAUGAUGCUAUCAAUUGUAAGAGAGUAAAUUCUUUACACCGUUGGUGUAAUCAUUUAUUUCCUCCAAAUCAAUUACAUUGUACCACGUUGCAAAACAGUGGUAUCAAUCAAUAAAACAUGGCGAUGUGACGCAAUAUAAUUGAUUUGGAGGAAACAGAUAUUUACACUAACGGUGUAAAGAAUUUAAUCUCCAAUUGUAAACAAUAAAAUCUCCAUCCAAAACAAAAAUUUGUGUACAUCACAAUAAGAACAACUGUUUCAGGAGGAACUUAACUUUUGUAGUUAACCCAAAAAAAAGGAAAAGAAAAAAUUAACUGCCUGUGCAGAAAAAUUCACACCUAAUUUAUAAGAUUCCACUACCGCAUGAUUUUGCAUGGAUAUCUGAUACAAAUCCUAUGUUUGUGUAAAUCGUGAAAAGUGGAGUACUCCUCCUAGCUGAUAACUAUGUAAGGUUUAAAGGACAUGAAAAACAAACCAAACCGUAACUAGUGCAGUUGUCAAGAAGAGAGCAAUCACCAAGCUGUGUCUACCCUCGUAAAGAACAAGGCUUUUUAUAACGUUCCUAAAGAAACGAGGCUUCUAUAAGGAAGCACAACGUUCUCAGAAGCAGUUCCAAUAAACACAGUUGAUGCACAAACCAGCAAAGUGGAGUGUCUUACGAUUGCUACUGAAGAGGGGCAUGCAUGGGUCUUGGCGAUCUGUUUCCACAAGAGAUGUUCAGAAUCAAGGCCACCUUUUUCUUCAGAAGGAGACCUCAAUGGCUGCAGAGCCGCCAGUGGAUACCUUGAUGAUCGGUUAGGAGGAAUUGAAGGCAUUUUAUAAAAGAAGAAGAGUCCAGACAGAGGGACAACAAAAUUUCUUGCAGAUCUCUCUCAAGCAAGGGAAGGGACUGCGAUAAUCAAGAAAGACACUGCGAGGUUAAAAAGAGAGAGUGUGACAAGAGAGAUGAAGCGAUUUCACGGACAAGAGAAGAUACUGAGAAGCUCCGGGCACGUGCUCAAGUGUUGGAGAGCGCGUUACUUGCGUCAUCGGAGGAAUUGAAGGCAUUGUCUGCAAAAAAAGUCAAGAUUGACAAGGAUCUUGCAAAGCUCAAAGAAGGGACUGCAGCGCUCCGGAAAUUGACUGCAGGUUUGAGUGAGGAAGCCUGAGCAGGGAAGAGCGAGAAG